RNAcentral lists this non-coding RNA (29 nucleotides) under Homo sapiens (human). The record is from RNAcentral. Lineage: Eukaryota; Metazoa; Chordata; Mammalia; Primates; Hominidae.
UCCUACUUCUGGAUAUGGAUCAGAGCUGG